Molecule: ribosomal RNA, 376 nt
Filed under: uncultured bacterium
Lineage: Bacteria
Description: bacterial SSU rRNA
Rfam family: Bacterial small subunit ribosomal RNA
Source: RNAcentral
UAAUACGGAGGGGGCUAGCGUUGUUCGGAUUUACUGGGCGUAAAGCGUACGUAGGCGGCUUUGUAAGUUAGAGGUGAAAGCCCAGGGCUCAACCCUGGAAUAGCCUUUAAGACUGCAUCGCUUGAACGUCGGAGAGGUGAGUGGAAUUCCGAGUGUAGAGGUGAAAUUCGUAGAUAUUCGGAAGAACACCAGUGGCGAAGGCGACUCACUGGACGACUGUUGACGCUGAGGUACGAAAGCGUGGGGAGCAAACAGGAUUAGAUACCCUGGUAGUCCACGCCGUAAACGAUGAUAACUAGCUGUCGGGGCUCUUAGAGCUUCGGUGGCGCAGCUAACGCAUUAAGUUAUCCGCCUGGGGAGUACGGUCGCAAGAUUA